GACGAACGCUGGCGGCGUGCUUAACACAUGCAAGUCGAACGGAAAGGCCCUGCUUUUGUGGGGUGCUCGAGUGGCGAACGGGUGAGUAACACGUGAGUAACCUGCCCUUGACUUUGGGAUAACUUCAGGAAACUGGGGCUAAUACCGGAUAGGAGCUCCUGCUGCAUGGUGGGGGUUGGAAAGUUUCGGCGGUUGGGGAUGGACUCGCGGCUUAUCAGCUUGUUGGUGGGGUAGUGGCUUACCAAGGCUUUGACGGGUAGCCGGCCUGAGAGGGUGACCGGACAAAUUGGGAAUGAGAUACGGGCCAGAAUCCUACGGGGGGCAGCAGGGGGGAAUAUUGGACAAUGGGCGGAAGCCUGAUGCAGCAACGCCGCGUGCGGGAUGACGGCCUUCGGGUUGUAAACCGCUUUCGCCUGUGACGAAGCGUGAGUGACGGUAAUGGGUAAAGAAGCACCGGCUAACUACGUG
Molecule: ribosomal RNA, 468 nt
Filed under: uncultured bacterium
Lineage: Bacteria
Description: partial 16S ribosomal RNA
Rfam family: Bacterial small subunit ribosomal RNA
Source: RNAcentral